GGGCUGGUGGCGGAAUGGCAGACGCGGAGGACUUAAAAUCCUUUGGUGGCUAAUCCAUCGUGUGGGUUCGACUCCCUCCCAGCCCA
RNAcentral lists this transfer RNA (86 nucleotides) under Chloroflexota bacterium. RNAcentral's name for it is "Chloroflexi bacterium (groundwater metagenome) tRNA-Leu". It matches the Rfam family "tRNA". Rfam says of the family: Transfer RNA (tRNA) molecules are approximately 80 nucleotides in length. Their secondary structure includes four short double-helical elements and three loops (D, anti-codon, and T loops). Further hydrogen bonds mediate the characteristic L-shaped molecular structure. tRNAs have two regions of fundamental functional importance: the anti-codon, which is responsible for specific mRNA codon recognition, and the 3' end, to which the tRNAs corresponding amino acid is attached (by aminoacyl-tRNA synthetases). tRNAs cope with the degeneracy of the genetic code in two manners: having more than one tRNA (with a specific anti-codon) for a particular amino acid; and 'wobble' base-pairing, i.e. permitting non-standard base-pairing at the 3rd anti-codon position. Lineage: Bacteria; Bacillati; Chloroflexota. The record is from RNAcentral.